This is a non-coding RNA of Pelodiscus sinensis (Chinese soft-shelled turtle), 265 nucleotides long. The record is from RefSeq and is a predicted model, not a curated record. Lineage: Eukaryota; Metazoa; Chordata; Testudines; Trionychidae.
GCGACGCCGUCUCUGAGGUUUACGGAGGGAGCAGAGCACCGAGAGCCCAGUGCAGACCAGACAGCCGCCUCGCCAUGAAGAUCACAGGAGCUGUUCUACUCUUCUCUCUGGCCCUCUAUUGCUCCUACUCAGAUGCUGCUGGCAGCCCUGGUGAGGGUUUCUGCAGUGAGUACACGGCACCUCCUACAGCAUGCCAGGAGAUUUACAAACCUGUCUGUGGCACUGAUGGCAACACGUACAGCAACAAAUGCACCUUUUGCAUUGC